GUUCUGUGUCACCAAGGAGAGCUUCAAUAUCGUGAGCGAAACGUUGCCGUCGCCUCACGUGGUGCGCUCCGAUUGCAGGAGGAACCCUCAGCACUCAGACUCCCCAUGCAUCGAGGGGGGGGGCAGAAGUUCUUUAUUUUUCAUUUCUCUUUUUCCACCCUGUAGCAAAAAUGCUAAGUCAUGGCCUGAACCAGUAACGGAGCACCUGGUGGGAAGGCAGGGCCAGCCCAGGGGAGCUCAGCUGCAUGCAAUGCACCUGAGUGAGAGGAAGGGCAGGAGCCAGGAUCCACCCCUGCCCAGACCUCAUUUAAGGGUUGGCAGUGGAGGUAAGGGGAUCUUGUUGAAGAUCCCUUCCUACCUGAGGUCUUCUAAAGGGAUGCUCUGAAGAAGGCUGCUUGGUGAUCAGCUGAGCCAUGAGUUCUGGAGGUGCCUGCCCAGCACAAAGCAACAAUGCCAGCCCUGGGCAGCGCAGCCACAGGCUGCCUGCAGGACACCAGCUCCUUGUUCAGCAUCGCUCUGCUUUACCCUCCUCCAAAUUACCGCUCCUGACGGGCAGCACUCGGGAAAAUCCUCAAAAUCUCAGCAUGGAGAAGAUCAGUGCUCUCUGGGUCCUUGACUUUAAUUUCCAGCAGAUAGCCUUUGCCAAACUUGUUCUUCAGGUACUGAAUGGAGCCGAUGCACCUGCAGCCGGGGAAACUCACAUUAUAGGAGGUGAUUUGAGGAGAAAGGCAGUAAGGAUCUGGGGACCAGGAGAUGUGCCACCAUUGGCUGCACCCACAUGUUUUCUUCGUGCCUGCUACAAUGAGCUGCUAAAGUCCUGCUGAGCUCCUGCAUGAUUUUAUGGGUAUAUUCUCCAAAACACUGCCACUCUAGACAUGGCUUCCGCCUCAGCUAGCCCUCCUCUUGCUGAAAGAAUUACCCAAAUCCCCCGCUAGCAAACCACUGAACACUAGAACAGAACGUACCAGCAAGAAGAAGCUGUCAGCGGUCCCAGAUACCUUGUUGCUCAUUGCAAACUGAACCCCGAACAUGGAGAAGAGAAGGAGCCAGCAGAGUGGGACGUCAACCAGUGCCUGCCCACACCAGUACGCCGAGGGGAAGAGCCCCGAGACCCGCAGCUGGGCACAAGCUCCUGUCUGGGAAGGAAUGUGCUGGCCACUGGAACAGCUCCAGGAAGUGAAAAGCUAAUAAAUCUCAUAAAAAGCUG
Numida meleagris (helmeted guineafowl) is the source of this 1207-nucleotide long non-coding RNA. RefSeq lists it as uncharacterized. The transcript has 4 exons. Lineage: Eukaryota; Metazoa; Chordata; Aves; Galliformes; Numididae. The record is from RefSeq and is a predicted model, not a curated record.